AAGAGCUAUGAUACAUAUGGAAUGCAAAUUGACCCCCUCCAACGAUUUGAAACAAGAUGGAUCGUUCAAGAUUGAAGUUAGGAAAACUAUUCUAAUCACAUAAUCAAUGAAAAUUUGAUGAAGUAAUUAGAAUAGUACUUUGAUUCCCUUAAAACGCCACAAACUAAGAAGCUUGAUAAGUUGAAAGGAAAAACAAAGAUUUUUCUUGGGUUUUGAACGCCACAAACAGAAAUGCUUGAUAAGUCCAAAGUUCAUGCAAGAACUUAAAAACAAAACACUC
This 280-nucleotide long non-coding RNA is filed under the name Musa acuminata (dwarf banana). Its description in RNAcentral is "long non-coding RNA (MACU_LNC011544)". Lineage: Eukaryota; Viridiplantae; Streptophyta; Magnoliopsida; Zingiberales; Musaceae. The record is from RNAcentral.